GCGAGCUUGACCACCCGAUCCCGUUAGUCGCCUCUUGCGACAAGCAUAUGCGUUCCCGAUGAUACCGGUGGAGUUCACUGGUGGAAUGGUACCGGUGGACCAAUGAUCUCGCUGUUACCAGUGGGCCUUGAGUUGUGUUCUCAAAACCGAUGGACUGGUGGCGGGGCUUGGAGUGACAGUCUGGCUACCGGUGAUCAUGAUUUUAUGAUCGCUUCAAUAAAUUUGUGUUUCAAACUUA
This is a long non-coding RNA of Haliotis rufescens (red abalone), 238 nucleotides long. RefSeq lists it as uncharacterized. The record is from RefSeq and is a predicted model, not a curated record. The transcript has 2 exons. Lineage: Eukaryota; Metazoa; Mollusca; Gastropoda; Lepetellida; Haliotidae.